Molecule: long non-coding RNA, 345 nt
Organism: Sphaeramia orbicularis (orbiculate cardinalfish)
Lineage: Eukaryota; Metazoa; Chordata; Actinopteri; Kurtiformes; Apogonidae
Exons: 2
Source: RefSeq, a predicted model, not a curated record
UAUUCUGACAUUAGUCAUUAUUGUUUUGGAUCCCAGACCCCUUUAAAAAAGAAACACCUGGAUUCAACGUGUCCACAUACUUUUGUCCAUGUAGUGGAUAAAAUGAGGUGAGUUUCAGUCAGUUUUAUGAUAAAAAGCAGGAUUUACCUUCACAAAAGCUGCUCCAGACAUCUUCCCUUUAUUUCUGGAAAUAUUCCUGUGAAAAGGGACAAAGGAAUCAGGAAAAAAUAUGUGGAUUUACAUCUACAUCAUCAUUUCUAACAUUAAGUAUUUUCACUGUAAACAACUUUCCAUGGUCUAUGACUUUCUAAAAAUUGUGUCCCAAAAUUAAAAAACUCAAAAACA